Molecule: non-coding RNA, 2125 nt
Organism: Peromyscus maniculatus bairdii (prairie deer mouse)
Lineage: Eukaryota; Metazoa; Chordata; Mammalia; Rodentia; Cricetidae
Source: RefSeq, a predicted model, not a curated record
CUGCCCGCCUCUAGCCACCCUGUCUCCCUAGGGCACCACUUGUGGUUAGCGACAGGGCAGCAGGGUCCAGAAGGGUUAAGUUUAAAACUACAGUCUGCUCACAGCCAGCAGACUGUCCUCUUGACCAGACCCAUUUUGGAGAGAAAGGAAGAAGCAGCCUGAGGGGUCCCUGCUUUUCUUUUUGUGUAUCUAAUGGGCCUCCGGAGUCAUCUGGAGAAUCACAGCCCCCCUGGAACUCAGGAAAGAGGUUCUGGGGAAAAAAAAAAACCUCAGAUAAAAAAACCUCAAGCUGAAAAAAACCUCAAGUGACCAGGGCCAAGUCUCACCACCAGCAUGACGACAGGACUUGUUUCUCUAGGAAAAAGGCAUGGCCAUAGGGGCAGCUGGGCCCAGAUCUGAAUAUGACUCUGGUCUUGUUAAGACUGGGCAAGUCACUUCCUGAACUCCAGCCUCAGUUUACUCAUGUGUAAUGUGGGGCGGUAUGACACAACGCAGGAAGUAACAGCUGCCUCCACUGUAGUCAGGUGGCACAGAUGGGAGACCAGGCCUCUGCUGCUUGUGACCAAGUGCAAGUGCCGUCACAGAAGGCUGGCUCCGUCAGUCAGGGCAGGCCGCUCAGUACCUUCGCUGCUGUACAACUUAAUGGCCGACUUCACACACGGGCGUCCCUUCAAACCCGGCGCAGUGGCCUCUAAGUUAGGUCACGGACGUGCCCAGAUGGGAGGGGUGGGCUGCAAAGAACUCAAGGUCCCGUAUUUCACCAUCAUUUCCAACCCCUAGUAUCAAUGGGAAGAGUGUUGGUCUGCUGGUACAAACGCUACAGAAGACGAGGCCUUGACCUAGCUGUCCGGUUUGAGAAGUAGCCAUUUACCCAUGUUUAUCAGCGCUUGCUGUGCACCAAAUGUGUCAUUCUGAACCUUUAACUGCCACAGUAUCUCAUCCUCACUGCCCAGCCAAAACGGUGAUCGCUACAGCCAUCCCCACUGCAGAUUCCAGGAGACCGAGGCACACAUCGACUGGCAUCCACCUGUGAUCAGCCACGUCGCUGCUGCUAUCAUGUUCAUCACUGUGUCAGGUGUCCCACGGUGAGCAUGUACCAGUUUAUCCAUCACAUGUUAAUGGGUGGCUGUGUUGUUUUGGUUUGGGGCUCCUAUGAGUAACAUGUUGUGGAUGACCUCUGGCCAGCAUUCCCCUGGGGUAGUUCCCAGGAAUGUAUUGCUGGGUUUUAUGGCCGGUGUGUGUUUGGUUUUGUGAAAAACUGCAAGACCCUUUUCUAAAUGUACAACUUUACAUUGCCACUGAUAACUUUGGAAGCUGCAGUGGACAUUUUGUCAUUAGUGGCAGUAAUUGGCUCCUGACUCUCCCCAGGCUUCCAGGCCGUUUGCACAUCUGUUUAAUGAAAAAUUUUGUCUGGUUUUGUGCCCACUACAUUUUCAUUUUGAUUUCUUCCCAUUCUUUUUAUUGUUUGGUUAGAGGUCAGAUAUACUAUUGAGAACGUCUUUUUCUGAGCAAAUAAUUUCCUUUUCUUAACAAAUGUGAGUUGUAUCACAGCAUUCGUAAACAAAAGAGGGCUGACUUGGGUCAUUAUACGCAAAGUGGCCGAAAGGGAUCCUGUGAUGGGAGAGGGCUGUGAGCUUGGCUGAGUCAGGGCGUGGACGAGGAAGAUAAGACAAGACCUGUGAGUCUUAGGUGACUUCACUCCCCAAGAAUGUAAGUGGAGAUGGCCAGAGUGUGUUCCUGGAGAGUGUCUGGACAGGCCACUCAUCUGCACACCACUGUGCCUUUUGCGUGACUGCCCGAGCGCCACUUCCUGGAGCAGCCCUCCUCUGCAUUUUGCCUACUGACAGGGUGUCUGACCUGCCAGUCUGGCCCAGGGGAGUCUGGCCUGAUAAGGGAUUAGCACAUGACAAGCUCUCUUCUCUGAGACACUUUCUUCCCUCCCUGUGACUCUUUUCAUGCUGAAGUCUGGAAGCCCUGCAGAAAUCCCUUUUAGAAGCUCGGCAUAGUGUUGGCCUGUACUCCUAGCACCUGGGAAUUCAAGGCAGUUCUCAGCUACAUCCUCAGCGUGAGCCCACCCAAACCAAAGAAGUAAAGUCCUUUCUGGAAAAUAAAAGAAUAACAUGGA